Long non-coding RNA from Tympanuchus pallidicinctus (lesser prairie-chicken), 2112 nucleotides. RefSeq lists it as uncharacterized. NCBI's taxonomy places the organism in Eukaryota, Metazoa, Chordata, Aves, Galliformes, Phasianidae. The record is from RefSeq and is a predicted model, not a curated record. The transcript has 2 exons.
UUUUUUAAAUUGUUUUUUACCUUCUGCUGCAUUGACUAGCAAUGCUACUUUCCUUUCAGCUAAUGGCCUUUUGUUUAGAUUGACUCUGCCUUGCUGAAAAUAUUCUCUUGCUGUGUAUUGUACACGGCCUUAAGGCACUACUGUGAUGCACACAAAGACUUUUUAUAAUUAAGAAUAGUUGUGGUCAUAGACGAUAGUAAUAACCAUAUCUGUCAUCCUGUAGUCUCAACAUUUCUUGAGGUGGUCUGCCUCUGAUUUUUGGUGCUUGAUGUUCCCCAUCAUUUACGCUGGUUUUACUGUGUAAUUAUUUUGCUUUACUCUCAGAGGAGAGUUGAACUCCCUUUAUGUGUGCAUUCCCCCCUUUAAUGUUACUCCUUCCUUAAAAUAACCAAACAGUUCCUUCCUCAGAUCCAAACUCUGCAGAAGAAUCUGCAGGAAGGGUGGUGUAUUCUAAAAUGGUACAUUUAUUAGUUUGGAGUCAGGUGUACACACACAUACAUGUCCAUGCAUAGUACAGUAGCAUUCUUAGGAGUAAGAAAAUGUAUUGUCAGCAUUUACUGCCUUAAUGGUACUCUCCUUUUCCAUUUUUAAUACUAUUGUCUGACAAGCAUUUUUGAAGUACAUCAACAUUUUACUGUUGUUUUUUUUUCCCAGCCUCCUGCAAAAUAAGCCAUCCCCUCCCAUGACAUUGAGUCAGCUAUGUGGGCCAUAGGCUGGAGCCACAGGCUGGAGAAAGUCCUUCAGUUGCACAUUCAGAACAAACGUUGUGAUGUGUAAUGUAGUCAAUGGCUCCUCCUUUUUAAAGAAAAACAGUGAUUAGUUAGUAUUAUUUUACCAGGCUGUUAGUACUAGCAACGUUCUAUUGCAGUUCUAGUUAAUUACUAGUUAAUUACUAGUAGAGAAAUGACUCUCAUAAACGGGGUAACAGAAAGUAUGAACGUAUUUUCUGAGGUUAGCUCAAUACUUGAGAUAGGAAUGCUAGAUUAGGUGAUACAAACUCUCAUUUAUAGGACAAUAAAUCCACACCAGUGCAGAUGCAAUCAUUGAGGUCUGGCUUGUAUGCAAGAAAUUAAAAGUAAAUUCAAUUAAUUUAUCUUAAUCACAGUUAGCUUGCUACCUUCUUCAGAUGUAGGAAGCCUAGCCUCAAAAGAAAAGCUUCCAGGAGCCUGGGAAGAGUGAUGAUUUCCAUCCAUUUCACUUUGCUGCUGUUCCAUGGGAUGCUGUUGCAAAUGAUUAUCCGUAGGUAUCACACAGUUGUUUGUCAACAACACCAAACUGUCUGCUGUCCUAAUGAGGUGGUGUAUUGAGAUGAGUUGUAAUUAACAUAAACAGAAAGUAAUCAAGUGAUGAAUGGAGAAAGUGUCCCUUCAAAACGUAACGUUCUGGACCAUGGCUUUUUAAGCUGAUGCACUGUGCUGUGUAUGCUGACCUGUGAUGAAGGAAGCUAGACAUUUAAAAGUGCUGAGAACCCAGCUAUCUGCAUGCAUCUUUGCUCUGCAUACAUCUUGUUCGGGCAGUGCAAUUAGCAAGCAGUAAGGUGAGCCUCAGGUUAAAUGGCAACCAAAUAGACACUGAGAAUGGCCAGCAGUUAAUCUCUGUAACUUUCCUCUGUAACAUAAAUGAAGUUUCAGUAGAAACAAGCAGCGUAAUUUGCAUUGUUUUUGGUCAUUGGUAGAAAAUGCAUUGUAAGCUCUGCAAUUAAAUCCUGUAUUUGAAGCAAUCAAGCAAUUAGAAAAAAGCUGUUUUCUGUGCGUUUACUGAGAUGUAGCUCUAGUCCUAACUGUGGAAUUAAGUGCCUCGUGAGAACUGCCUGUUUUCUUUACUAUUUUAUUUUUUUUCUGCCGUAAAAACUUGACAUUACCACUGCCUUCUAUCACACCCAGGAGGCUGUGUAUCACUGGGAGGACAUGCCCAUGCAGAGUCUGACAAUAUUUUGUGGACUGUGCGCUGCUCCUCACUGGCGUGCUUUGGGAUUCUGGAGAUGUGAAACCACCGUGGUGCUUGCUGGUGAUUGGUGAUAGCUGAGUAAAAACAGCUAGCUGUGAAGAAAUUGUUUCUGUUGUACAGAAAAAGGGCCCCAGUCACAAGUGAGAGAAAAAUGAGUAACAGAAG